UACGGAGGGUGCGAGCGUUGUCCGGAAUCACUGGGCGUAAAGGGCGCGUAGGCGGUCUGUUAAGCGUGUGGUGAAAGCUCGGGGCUCAACCCCGAGUCUGCCAUGCGAACUGGUGGACUUGAGCACUGUAGAGGCAGGUGGAAUUCCGGGUGUAGUGGUGGAAUGCGUAGAGAUCCGGAGGAACACCAGCGGCGAAGGCGGCUUCCUGGCCUGUUCUUGACGCUGAGGCGCGAAAGCUAGGGGAGCGAAUGGG
Molecule: ribosomal RNA, 253 nt
Filed under: uncultured bacterium
Lineage: Bacteria
Description: partial 16S ribosomal RNA
Rfam family: Bacterial small subunit ribosomal RNA
Source: RNAcentral